Molecule: ribosomal RNA, 419 nt
Filed under: uncultured bacterium
Lineage: Bacteria
Description: bacterial SSU rRNA
Rfam family: Bacterial small subunit ribosomal RNA
Source: RNAcentral
GGAAUAUUGGUCAAUGGAGGGAACUCUGAACCAGCCAUGCCGCGUGGAGGAAGAAGGUCCUAUGGGUUGUAAACUCCUUUUGUUCCGGAGUAAUAAGUGCCUUGCGAGGCACGAUGAGAGUACGGGACGAAUAAGCAUCGGCUAACUCCGUGCCAGCAGCCGCGGUAAUACGGAGGAUGCAAGCGUUAUCCGGAUUUAUUGGGUUUAAAGGGUGCGCAGGCGGACAGUUAAGUCAGCGGUGAAAUCUCACGGCUCAACCGUGGAACUGCCGUUGAUACUGGCUGUCUAGAGUACGGACGGCGCCGGCGGAAUGUGUCAUGUAGCGGUGAAAUGCUUAGAUAUGCCACAGAACACCGAUCGCGAAGGCAGCUGGCGAGGCCGGUACUGACGCUCAGGCACGAAAGCGUGGGGAUCAAACA